UACGUAGGUGGCGAGCGUUGUCCGGAUUUACUGGGCGUAAAGGGAGCGUAGGCGGACUUUUAAGUGAGAUGUGAAAUACCCGAGCUCAACUUGGGUGCUGCAUUUCAAACUGGAAGUCUAGAGUGCAGGAGAGGAGAAUGGAAUUCCUAGUGUAGCGGUGAAAUGCGUAUAGAUUAGGAAGAACACCAGUGGCGAAGGCGAUUCUCUGGACUGUAACUGACGCUGAGGCUCGAAAGCGUGGGGAGCAAACAGGAUUAGA
This 259-nucleotide ribosomal RNA is filed under the name uncultured prokaryote. RNAcentral's name for it is "partial 16S ribosomal RNA". It matches the Rfam family "Bacterial small subunit ribosomal RNA", at positions 524 to 782 of the family's 1533-position model. The record is from RNAcentral.